GAUGAACGCUGGCGGCGUGCCUAAUACAUGCAAGUCGAGCGAACAGACGAGGAGCUUGCUCCUCUGACGUUAGCGGCGGACGGGUGAGUAACACGUGGAUAACCUACCUAUAAGACUGGGAUAACUUCGGGAAACCGGAGCUAAUACCGGAUAAUAUAUUGAACCGCAUGGUUCAAUAGUGAAAGACGGUUUUGCUGUCACUUAUAGAUGGAUCCGCGCCACAUUAGCUAGUUGGUAAGGUAACGGCUUACCAAGGCAACGAUGCGUAGCCGACCUGAGAGGGUGAUCGGCCACACUGGAACUGAGACACGGUCCAGACUCCUAAGGGAGGCAGCAGUAGGGAAUCUUCCGCAAUGGGCGAAAGCCUGACGGAGCAACGCCGCGUGAGUGAUGAAGGUAUUCGGAUCGUAAAACUCUGUUAUUAGGGAAGAACAAAUGUGUAAGUAACUAUGCACGUCUUGACGGUACCUAAUCAGAAAGCCACGGCUAACUACGUG
This 497-nucleotide ribosomal RNA is filed under the name uncultured bacterium. Its description in RNAcentral is "partial 16S ribosomal RNA". It matches the Rfam family "Bacterial small subunit ribosomal RNA", at positions 28 to 507 of the family's 1533-position model. The record is from RNAcentral.